Molecule: transfer RNA, 58 nt
Filed under: Loxodonta africana (African savanna elephant)
Lineage: Eukaryota; Metazoa; Chordata; Mammalia; Proboscidea; Elephantidae
Rfam family: tRNA
About the family: Transfer RNA (tRNA) molecules are approximately 80 nucleotides in length. Their secondary structure includes four short double-helical elements and three loops (D, anti-codon, and T loops).
Source: Rfam by way of RNAcentral
UGGCAUAGUGGUUAAAGCGCUUGGCUGCUAAUCAAAAGGUCGGUGGUUCGAACCUAUC